Molecule: ribosomal RNA, 237 nt
Filed under: uncultured bacterium
Lineage: Bacteria
Description: partial 16S ribosomal RNA
Rfam family: Bacterial small subunit ribosomal RNA
Source: RNAcentral
GACGAACCGUGCGAACGUUAUUCGGAAUCACUGGGCUUAAAGCGCGUGUAGGCGGGCCGGCACGUCGGACGUUGAAAUCCCCCUGCUCAACCGGGGAAGGGGCGCCGAUACGACCGGCCUGGAGGAACGUAGGGGGAGCUGGAACUUCCGGUGGAGCGGUGAAAUGCGUUGAGAUCGGAAGGAACGCCCGUGGCGAAAGCGAGCUCCUGGACGUUUUCUGACGCUGAGACGCGAAAG